GUGUGUGUGUGUGUGUGUGUGUGUGUGUGUGUGUGUGUGUGUGUGUGUGUGUGUGUGUGUGUGUGUGUGUGUGUGUGUGUGUGUAAGCGUGUGUGUAAGCGUGUGUGUAAGCGUGUGUGUAAGCGUGUGCGUGUGUGAUCUGUUGUUUGAUUUAGUGCGUCCACCUUCACAAGGACCAGCCUCUUAUCAGAUCAAAGCUGCAGCCGUAGCCCAUGAACGUGUCUGUGUGUGUGUGUGUUCAUGGUGGAGCACAGAGGUGUAGGUGAGGUGGGGGUGUUUUCGUUGCUUUUAACCCAGGACAAUGGGACAGCAAAGGAGAGCGCCAGCGAGUACUCUUUGAACUAAUGAAGAGGAAACCUUUUACUCUCCUCCAUAAAGAUGCCCAGUGCUCCCUGUGCUACGGAUUUUACCUCUUUCAAAGUGGAAUAAAAUAGAAGCGAAGAAACUAUUUCAUUUGCUUCACGCUUCUCACUGUCCUGUUUUUAUCCUCCUAAACCCACAGUUGUAGACAAAACGCCACACAAGGCAAAAGCAAGGCUUCAGAAAGAUUAUUAGAGCUGUAAUACAUGAGCAUCUAUUGUGAGUCAAGGUGUGAACACCAAACUUACAAAGGUGAAGAGAAUAUAAAUUAGAUUUUCUGUGUUUUAUCUUUUGUACUUUUUGGCUAAACCGACCAAGAUUUAACAUGUUCCAUGAUUUAAUCCAUGACUGUUGUGUUUUGAAGGUUCGCUGGCUUCAGAGGCAGCACAGUCUUUACAGAGAGAAGCGGCUUCCUGUGUCAAGACCCGGCCCCGUUUUCACCGAUGGUUCCCAGAGGAGGGAGUCCGCCUCUGGCAGGAAGCCGGCGAAGAAGAACCGCGACCAGUUUCUCACCUUCAACGACCCACUCUGGCACAUGCAGUGGGAACUGUUCGCCCAGGACGAGUACGGCGCCAGCGGGGCCGACCUGAACGUGAUGCCAGUGUGGAACAACAACAUCACCGGCGAUGGAGUGGUGGUCAGCAUCAUCGACGAUGGUUUAGAUUACACCAACAAAGACCUGAAGAAAAACUUUGUAAGUAAACCGACAAUUAAGUUCCUGAACAAUAACUGGUCUCGACCAAAUCCCGUUAAAGCUCGGCUGUAAAAUAUCACCACUUUGGUUAUUUUGUGACGAUCUUUGAGAUGGUUAUGCAAUUUAAUUUCUGAUCCUGCUGUCCUUUCACGAGAUUAUAUCCAGCCACUGUGCUGUUUGGGUUUUCAUUAGACUGAAAUCUUCGUAUCGACUUUUUCCUCAACUGCCCGACUUCUGUGUUACUUAGAACCCGAGACAGUAAAAGUUUCAUGCAGUGAUGAAGCUGCUCUGC
Molecule: long non-coding RNA, 1346 nt
Filed under: Betta splendens (Siamese fighting fish)
Lineage: Eukaryota; Metazoa; Chordata; Actinopteri; Anabantiformes; Osphronemidae
Description: lncRNA (ENSBSLG00000021595.1)
Source: RNAcentral